RNAcentral lists this ribosomal RNA (440 nucleotides) under uncultured bacterium. RNAcentral describes it as "partial 16S ribosomal RNA". It matches the Rfam family "Bacterial small subunit ribosomal RNA", at positions 338 to 795 of the family's 1533-position model. The record is from RNAcentral.
CCUACGGGGGGCAGCAGUGGGGGAUAUUGCACAAUGGGGGCAACCCUGAUGCAGCGAAGCCGCGUGUGGGAAGACGGUCCUCUGGAUUGUAAACCACUGUCCCCAGGGAAGAAGAUGACGGUACCUGGGGAGGAAGCUCCGGCUAACUACGUGCCAGCAGCCGCGGUAAUACGUAGGGAGCGAGCGUUGUCCGGAAUUACUGGGUGUAAGGGGAGCGUAGGCGGGACUGCAAGUUGGGUGUAAAAUCUACCGGCUCAACCGGUAGCCGCACUCAAAACUGCAGUUCUUGAGUGAAGUAGAGGCAGGCGGAAUUCCUAGUGUAGCGGUGAAAUGCGUAGAUAUUAGGAGGAACACCAGUUGCGAAGGCGGCCUGCUGGGCUUUUACUGACGCUGAGGCUCGAAAGUGUGGGGAGCAAACAGGAUUAGAUACCCGUGUAGUC